GAUUUCUGGCUUGAAACAAUCAGUCGGCUACGGUUUCGUAUGUUAGUACUGUGUUGUUCUGGCCAUCCUUCCAUUUUGUUUUAUCUGCUCUUCAUUGACUGGAUAAGAUAAAUGGAUCUUUUACUUUGAAAAAAUUAGAGUGUUUCAAGCAGGCUUAAUGCUAUGAAUACAUUAGCAUGGAAUAAUAAUUUAGGACUUCGGUUCUAUUUUGUUGGUUUCUAGGACUGAAGUAAUGAUUGAUAGGGAUAGUUGGGGGUGCUAGUAUUCAGCGGCCAGAGGUGAAAUUCUUGGAUUCGCUGAAGACUAACUUAUGCGAAAGCAUU
Molecule: ribosomal RNA, 323 nt
Filed under: Sandonidae sp.
Lineage: Eukaryota; Cercozoa; Glissomonadida; Sandonidae
Description: SSU rRNA
Rfam family: Eukaryotic small subunit ribosomal RNA (bases 114-323)
Source: RNAcentral